CAGCGGUCAGCCAUGUGUGGAAGAAGUGAGAAAGCAAGGAAGUUUUCGAAGUUAUAAAAUCGGAAGAAUUUUGUGAGUCCAUGCGCAAGAGUCAGAUGACAAUUACUAUUUGAACUACAGAAUGACUCCGAUUGAGGCUCGAGAUCUGUUGCCGCAAGCGGUAAUAGAGCGUCAACUCUCUGAGCUGCAAAGCUCCUUAAGGCCCACAGAGGAGCCAAGGGAGCCUAGGGAUGGAGAGCCAACCUGCGUUGUCUGCUUAACGAGCAAAGCAACGUGGUUGUGUUCGCCCUGUGGGCACACAAUUUUGUGUGCAGGUUGUGUUGGUAGGUUUGUCAACACUCCACUUUAUCACACAGUGAUAACGCUAAGUGGUACAACCUAUGCAACCAACAAAAGACUGUCAUUGUCCUGCACUACUUGUAGGGCAAUUAUUGGUCAAAUAAUUUAUGUAUUUUAAAAUAAUUAAGAUUAUGAACAGUGGUCACUGGUAUUAAAGAGUUCAGAGAUUAACGAAA
Molecule: long non-coding RNA, 515 nt
Organism: Bacillus rossius redtenbacheri
Lineage: Eukaryota; Metazoa; Arthropoda; Insecta; Phasmatodea; Bacillidae
Exons: 2
Source: RefSeq, a predicted model, not a curated record